This 406-nucleotide ribosomal RNA is filed under the name uncultured bacterium. Its description in RNAcentral is "partial 16S ribosomal RNA". It matches the Rfam family "Bacterial small subunit ribosomal RNA", at positions 29 to 526 of the family's 1533-position model. The record is from RNAcentral.
AGUGAACGCUGGCGGCAGGCCUAAUACAUGCAAGUCGAACGAGGGGCGGACGGGUGAGGAAUGUCUGGGAAACUGCCUGAUGGAGGGGGAUAACUACAGGAAACGGUAGCUAAUACCGCAUACCAUCGGAUGUGCCCAGAUGGGAUUAGCUUGUUGGUGGGGUAACGGCUCACCAAGGCGACGAUCCCUAGCUGGUCUGAGAGGAUGACGAGCCACACUGGAACUUGGACACGGUCCAGACUCCUACGGGAGGCAGCAGUGGGGAUUAUUGCACAAUGGGCGCAAGCCUGAUGCAGCCAUGCCGCGUGUAUGAAGAAGGCCUUCGGGUUGUAAAGUACUUUCAGCGGGGAGGCGUUACCCGCAGAAGAAGCACCGGCUAACUCCGUGCCAGCAGCCGCGGUAAUUC